Molecule: ribosomal RNA, 251 nt
Filed under: uncultured prokaryote
Description: partial 16S rRNA
Rfam family: Bacterial small subunit ribosomal RNA
Source: RNAcentral
ACGGAGGGUGCAAGCGUUAAGCGGAAGAAGGGGGAGUAAAGCGUGCGUAGGCUGUCUAGCAAGCCAGACGUGAAAGCCCUCGGCUCAACCGGGGAACUGCGUUUGGAACUGCUUGACUUGAGUCCGAGAGAGGGCGGCGGAAUUCCGGGUGUAGGAGUGAAAUCCGUAGAUAUCCGGAGGAACACCGGUGGCGAAGGCGGCCGCCUGGAUCGGUACUGACGCUGAGGUACGAAAGCGUGGGGAGCAAACAG